GACCAGGCAGGAUUCCAGAGGCCUUUCCUUCCCACUUCCACCUUGAAUUCUUACUUAAAAUGCAAGCCAUGUACAGAGAAUGAACAUAGGGCCAGAAAUGUACUACGCUUGCCUGUGUAUAACGUAGGGCUAGGUGCUGUCUCCCAUGAUUUCAUUUACUCAAAGGAAAUCAGAUUUGAGGGAGAUAAUGUAAUAUUUUGUCUUGUUUCAGAGCCACCAACUAUUACAGAAGAAGAAUUUGAAGAUUCUCUGGCAACAGAUGAUUUCCUUGUAGACUACUUUAAUGAAUUCCUAAGCCUUCCACUAGGUCUCUGGACCCAUUAUGGAAGUUAGAUUGACACACCAAAGCUCCUGCUCCCUUUCCAAGAACAAGCCUGAGCAACACCACAGGAUAUUCAAGGAGUUCUUGUUUGUGCAAAGGAUGGUGUUGAAAUAGUCUUAACUGAAGAACAUAUUGUACUUAAAUUUCUCCUUUUGGACAAGGGAGAUUGUUAGCCUUCAUGGCUCCUAAGGAUGAAAGACAAUGGGAGCAUUAUUUCUUCCUUUACUCAUUCUUCCCUAGUGAUCC
RNAcentral lists this small RNA (568 nucleotides) under Pan troglodytes (chimpanzee). Its description in RNAcentral is "processed transcript". Lineage: Eukaryota; Metazoa; Chordata; Mammalia; Primates; Hominidae. The record is from RNAcentral.